Molecule: ribosomal RNA, 467 nt
Filed under: uncultured bacterium
Lineage: Bacteria
Description: partial 16S ribosomal RNA
Rfam family: Bacterial small subunit ribosomal RNA
Source: RNAcentral
ACGAACGCUGGCGGCGUGCUUAACACAUGCCAGUCGCACGGAAAGGCCCUGCUUUUGUGGGGUGCUCGAGUGGCGAACGGGUGAGUAACACGUGAGUAACCUGCCCUUGACUUUGGGAUAACUUCAGGAAACUGGGGCUAAUACCGGAUAGGAGCUCCUGCUGCAUGGUGGGGGUCGGAAAGUUUCGGCGGUUGGGGAUGGACUCGCGGCUUAUCAGCUUGUUGGUGGGGUAGUGGCUUACCAAGGCUUUGACGGGUAGCCGGCCUGAGAGGGUGACCGGCCACAUUGGGACUGAGAUACGGCCCAGACUCCUACGGGAGGCAGCAGUGGGGAAUAUUGCACAAUGGGCGGAAGCCUGAUGCAGCAACGCCGCGUGCGGGAUGACGGCCUUCGGGUUGUAAACCGCUUUCGCCUGUGACGAAGCGUGAGUGACGGUAAUGGGUAAAGAAGCACCGGCUAACUACGUG